AGUGAACGCUGGCGGUAGGCCUAACACAUGCAAGUCGAACGGCAGCACAGUAAGAGCUUGCUCUUACGGGUGGCGAGUGGCGGACGGGUGAGGAAUACAUCGGAAUCUACUUUUUCGUGGGGGAUAACGUAGGGAAACUUACGCUAAUACCGCAUACGACCUACGGGUGAAAGCAGGUGAUCUUCGGACCUUGCGCGAUUGAAUGAGCCGAUGUCGGAUUAGCUAGUUGGCGGGGUAAAGGCCCACCAAGGCGACGAUCCGUAGCUGGUCUGAGAGGAUGACCGGCCACAAGGGAACUGAGACAGGGCCAAGACUCCUAGGGGAGGCAGCAGGGGGGAAUUUGGAACGAUGGGCGAAAGCUUGACCGAGCAACGCCGGGGGGGUGAAGAAGGCCUGGGGAUUGUAAAGCUUUGUUAUGGGAAAAAAAAAACAGAGGAUUAAACCCCGCUUGUCUGGACGGUACCAAAAAAGAAAGCCCGGGCUAACUUCGUG
This 492-nucleotide ribosomal RNA is filed under the name uncultured bacterium. RNAcentral's name for it is "partial 16S ribosomal RNA". It matches the Rfam family "Bacterial small subunit ribosomal RNA", at positions 29 to 507 of the family's 1533-position model. The record is from RNAcentral.